This 432-nucleotide ribosomal RNA is filed under the name Clarias gariepinus (North African catfish). Its description in RNAcentral is "partial large subunit ribosomal RNA". The record is from RNAcentral. Lineage: Eukaryota; Metazoa; Chordata; Actinopteri; Siluriformes; Clariidae.
UUUAUUCCGGUAGGAACAAGAGCAGGUCUUGAUAGCGGCCGUGUGACUAAUUGGACGGCCGCGGUAUUUUGACCGUGCGUAGGUAGCGCUGUCGCUUGUCUUUUAAUGAGACCUGUAUGAUGGUGUACGAGAGCUGGCUGUCUGGUCCUUCGAGUCAUGAAUUGAUCUGCCGAUGCUCAGCGGAUAUAAAUGUCUAUACGAGUAGACCGUUUGAGCCUACAGCAGAUCACUAUGUUCAGCACCAGAAGUCAACUAAUAGCACGAUCGGACUUCGGUUGAGCUACUGUCAUAACAAGUCAUCGUACUGAGCCACACGACACCGCGACAUUCAGUCAGCACCGAAUUAAUCGCGGCGGAAGACGGGUACCAGUUCGUUAUCAGUUCUCCCGGUAACCCUUUGUCCCGAGAGCUUACCGUUUCGGCGUUAAAAGG